CAGGAGUCGCUAGUGCGUGAUGAGACAAGGAUAUCCCUACCGGCCAAACCCUCUCUAACCCGGACGAUGCUAGGCCAAUUGUGCUUCGACCCACGGACCUCCUUGUUGCGAACCCAGAUUCUCUGGUGGCCCAGCUAGCACUGCAAUGCAGUGCCCUAGACCACUACACCACCCGGGAGACCUAGGUCCCAUUUGAGCUGCCAGAGUAUGAGGCGUGUCCAGAUGAGCUCAACCAGAGGCAGGUCUUGUUCCAGUAUUGGGCCCGCUGGUCUAAGUGGAACAAGUACCAGACACUGGACCACAUCAGAGAAUACUUUGGAGAGAAGAUAGCCUUUUACUUUGCCUGGCUAGGCUUCUACACAGCCUGGCUGCUCCCCGCGGCAGUGGUGGGGACCUUUGUCUUUGUGUCAGGAGUCAUGUCCGAGGGCACCAACACUCCUGCAUGAGUCCUGAAACUCAAUCACUUACAAUGCUUUUCUAACACAUUCAUUUCUUUGCCUGUAAUCAAGGUUCAUGGUUUGAAAAUUGUACAGUAUAGAGCUCUUAUUAUAAUUAUCUUUACUACAAAUCGAGACCAAAAGAACGCUCAAAGAGGUGCUAUUACAAUAUAAUUACAGUAUAAUUUGAGCAACAGCGUGGCCUAGUGUAAUUCGCAGUCUGGAGCUCUGCAAAUGUACAGGCUCAAUUUAGUUACGCAGGCCGCCUGUACCAGUCUUAGGACAUAAUGCAUUGCUUCGCUGUGUGUGUGUCUUACAGUAACAUCACCCAGAAUGCAUCACAAACUAUACCAAUUACAUAAUUGACAAUUAACUUCAAUAAAGGCAUGAAAAAGGUCAACAAAAACAUUUAGGAAAUAUAUUACACGAUACAUAUCCACACAUCAAUAAUCGUGGUAAACCAUGUUUUAAACUUCAAUAAAACACAGGAAUAUGAACAUAUGCUUUAGCUUCCCUGCAACACUCAAACUAUGCGCUCUAAAGCACCCACUGUUUGACCAUCAAACCUCGACCAGGAAGUAAGGUGUGUGAGAGAGUGAAAACGUGUGUGUGUGUGCUUGUGUGUCCGUCUAUGCGUGUGUCAGGGGGAAAAUAAUAAUAUACUAUAUGCCAUUUAGUAGACACUUUUAUCCAAAGAAACUUAAAGUAAUGCGUGCAUACAUUUUACGUAUGGGCGAUCCCAGGCAUCGAACUGGCAUUUUAAACAACAUGCUCUUCUAACUGAGCUACCAUGUCUUGUCAAUGUUCCCUGUGUCUCCAAUGUGUUUCCAUGGCAACUGCUGACCAUUGUUUUCUCAGUAGUCUCUGUUACCCAGUAGUUAAAUGUGUGCAUAACUUUGUCACUUGUUUUCUCGUCGUUUAUUUACAGAAUCUGUCCACGAGAGAAUACUUUCUCGGGACCAGUGUUUGAUGGCUUGGUGGGGACUCAGUCGAUUUACCAGGCCAUAAAGAUAGGGAGUCUAAAGAUUCAAUAACAUAGCGAAGGAAGAAAAGCAUUGAGUCUCUUACAGGCCCAAAGACAUUAGUGUAACUCUUCAUGUUCAUUGUGGUUUAGUAAUAUCAAUCACUGCACUGUAUAAAAGCCAGAGAGCCUCUGGUGAUGUACUCUGUAGCAAGCAAUCAACGGGUAAUAAUAAUUCAGAUGUGUCUGAAAUCACACUCACUUCACUACUUUUGAGUGGUGAAUUGUGUAUGUGAUUCUGUGCCUGACUGUCCACAGCAAGGAGAUCUGUAGCAGUGGGAAUAGCUACCUGAUGUGUCCUCUCUGUAAGACCUGCAAGCCCUGGAACAUGCCUGAUAUCUGCCCCAUGGCUAAGGUGGGCUACCUGUUUGACCACCCCGGGACACUUCUCUUCAGUGCGUUCAUGUCAUUCUGGGCAGUCACCUUACUGGAGUACUGAAAACGCAAGAUGGCCACCCUGGCUCACCACUAGGACUGCAUGGACUUCCAAGAGGAGGAGUUUUGUGUGGUGAGGAUCUUCCUGGUGAAAGUGAUCAUGUACCGUGGGAUAGUGGGUGUGAUGAUGUACCGCACAGGCAGCGUUGUGCUGCGCACUCAGGCAGAGGAACAUUGCCAAUAUCUCCAGCAGUUUGGUGAAUCUGGCCCUGAUUCUGCUGAUGGGGCUGCAGCUCACUAAAUUGGGUAAGAACACAGACCUCAGCCACAUCCCUGUCUGCCUCAGCCAAUACGCUACCAAUCAAUACAUCUACCUACAGGGAAAUCUACUUCCUUGGGGUUUGAUUAAGCGUCUACGUCUAUCACAGUGGCCUCAAAGAGAAAACAUUGUCUAUCAAAUAAACUGGAAGCGGUUUGAUAUUCAAGGAUUUUUACAUGAUGUAUCUAGCAUGGCAUGGAAUAGCAUGGAAUUAAUCCCUGGUGUUGAACUAGCCUUUUCUUACUUCCACAACACAUUCCCGGAUGUAUGCAAUAGGCCCCUUUUAAAAAAAUCAGGAUUAAGGGCAGAGAGAACCCUUGGUUUACUUAAGGAACUUACAAAAAUCAUAAGGGAACGAAAUGCUAUGUUGGCUCAAGCAAGAGGGACUGGUUUGGCAGAUGAUUGGGUGGCUUUUAAAUGUCUUCGAAAUAUGGGUGUGGCUAUGAUCCAUAAUUUGAAAGCAGACCACUAUCUGAAAUCUACUUCACAUAGUUUAAAUAAUCCAUCCACAUUUUGGCAAGUAGUGAAGGGUUUGGAGUGCAAAAAGAUACACAUCUUCCCAAACAGUUGUUGGUCGACACACAGAUUGUAACUGAGAGAACCUCCAUUCUGAAAGCUUUUAAUCAGCAUUUCAUUUAGAUGCAGGCAGUUUAUUUGAAAAGGUCAAAGGUAUAAUUGAGUUUCAAUGAAUAUACCUGACACCCCUGUGCACUCCUUCACCAGGUUCUCCUUUUCAUCCUUUUCUGUUUCAGAAGUGUGUAAAGCCCUGAAAGAAAUUUGUGGGAAAAAAUAUGUUUCCUACACCUAGCUGCAGACAUCAUUGCUCCCCCUUAACAUGUAUUUUUAACCUCACGCUUGAUGUUGAGGAAAUAUGGAAAUAUGCUUUUGUACUGCCUCUCCUGAAAGGUGGAGAUCCUUCGCUACUUGACAACUGUUGACCCAUAUCCAAAUUGUCUGUACUGUCAAAGGUACUGGAGUCCUUUAGUUAGUAUGCAGCUAAAGGCCUACUUCCAAGAAAACAACAUCUUAAAUGGAAUGCAAUCAGGUUUCAGGUCUGGCCACAGCACUGUUUCAGCAACAUUGAAGAUU
Long non-coding RNA from Oncorhynchus tshawytscha (Chinook salmon), 3241 nucleotides. RefSeq lists it as uncharacterized. The record is from RefSeq and is a predicted model, not a curated record. The transcript is spliced from 6 exons. Lineage: Eukaryota; Metazoa; Chordata; Actinopteri; Salmoniformes; Salmonidae.